GCCCAGGUGGUGAAAUUGGUAGACACGCACGCUUGAGGGGCGUGUGGCCGAAAGGCUAUGCUGGUUCGAGUCCAGUCCUGGGCA
Molecule: transfer RNA, 84 nt
Filed under: Flavobacteriales bacterium
Lineage: Bacteria; Pseudomonadati; Bacteroidota; Flavobacteriia; Flavobacteriales
Description: tRNA-Leu
Rfam family: tRNA
About the family: Transfer RNA (tRNA) molecules are approximately 80 nucleotides in length. Their secondary structure includes four short double-helical elements and three loops (D, anti-codon, and T loops). Further hydrogen bonds mediate the characteristic L-shaped molecular structure. tRNAs have two regions of fundamental functional importance: the anti-codon, which is responsible for specific mRNA codon recognition, and the 3' end, to which the tRNAs corresponding amino acid is attached (by aminoacyl-tRNA synthetases). tRNAs cope with the degeneracy of the genetic code in two manners: having more than one tRNA (with a specific anti-codon) for a particular amino acid; and 'wobble' base-pairing, i.e. permitting non-standard base-pairing at the 3rd anti-codon position.
Source: RNAcentral